This 450-nucleotide ribosomal RNA is filed under the name uncultured Comamonas sp. Its description in RNAcentral is "bacterial SSU rRNA". It matches the Rfam family "Bacterial small subunit ribosomal RNA", at positions 21 to 470 of the family's 1533-position model. The record is from RNAcentral. Lineage: Bacteria; Pseudomonadati; Pseudomonadota; Betaproteobacteria; Burkholderiales; Comamonadaceae.
GGCUCAGAUUGAACGCUGGCGGCAUGCCUUACACAUGCAAGUCGAACGGUAACAGGUCUUCGGAUGCUGACGAGUGGCGAACGGGUGAGUAAUACAUCGGAACGUGCCUAGUAGUGGGGGAUAACUACUCGAAAGAGUGGCUAAUACCGCAUGAGAUCUACGGAUGAAAGCAGGGGAUCGCAAGACCUUGUGCUACUAGAGCGGCUGAUGGCAGAUUAGGUAGUUGGUGGGAUAAAAGCUUACCAAGCCGACGAUCUGUAGCUGGUCUGAGAGGACGAUCAGCCACACUGGGACUGAGACACGGCCCAGACUCCUACGGGAGGCAGCAGUGGGGAAUUUUGGACAAUGGGCGAAAGCCUGAUCCAGCAAUGCCGCGUGCAGGAUGAAGGCCUUCGGGUUGUAAACUGCUUUUGUACGGAACGAAAAGCUUCGGGUUAAUACCCGGAGCCA